Molecule: long non-coding RNA, 4492 nt
Filed under: Sorghum bicolor (sorghum)
Lineage: Eukaryota; Viridiplantae; Streptophyta; Magnoliopsida; Poales; Poaceae
Description: long non-coding RNA (SBIC_LNC004690)
Source: RNAcentral
GCUCUAACUUAACCAAGAUAAGUAAAUAAGUGUAAAUAGGAAAGAUGGUAGAAUCGAAUAAGAACAAUAUUAAAGGUAAGAUAACAGUGAGUGAUAAUAUGGGAAUAGAGAAUAGAGCAAUUCUAGUAUAUGGGCGAUGGUAGCAAUAGAGAAUAUAACUAUGGUUUCUCUACUUCAAAGGGGUUUGUCUAUGUUUGGGACGAACCACGAGAUAAGAUUACACCACAAAGGAUGCUUAUCCAUAGGCCGAUAAAACCUACCCAUCCUCCUAACGAGAAGUGGACUACAGAGGACCAACGUAACUGUCACCUACGCGGCCUACCACACGAUCCAGCUAGACAGGGGAUAUCCACAAGUAAUCUAGAUCUAAGCGCCUCGCUUACACCUAUACUACAACUCUCACCUAUAGCAUCCUAUAGAUUAAAGUACUCAAAAGAGUUGUGAACCAGAACAUACAUAAUUAGUAAUUGCAUAAUGAGUUAGAAGCAGAUUACAAGAGUCAUCCCAUGAGCAAGCUUGAUUAGAGCUUGAUCAUGACAAAGUACAACCGGAGGAAGAACCGACAGGCCGGCCUCUCCUCUAAUCCUCCUUCGCUCUCCAUCUUGCUACUAUCUAGAUCUACUCAAGUUUAGAGAAGAGAGGAGAGCUCUCAUCUCUAAUCCCUAACUUUUGCUCUGUCUAUGAAUAAUGAAUAAUGAUCAAGGGGUGCCUCCUCCAGGGGCCAGGGGGUCUGGUUAUAUAGUCCCCUCAAGUGAACCUUGGUCGUCGGAUCAAACCGACGUUGAUUGAACGGUUAUCCUUGAUCCUUUAGGUCGCCCUGCCCCCGGGCCCGUUCGCCUUCCCGUUCAUUCCCGCGGCUUCUGGAGUCUUCUAGAUGUAAGAUAAUUGUGCGGCACGUUAAUAUCUCUAUGUAAUCCCGACGUGUGGGCCUUUCUUCCGUAUUUCCUGAUAACCCCCUGCAGAAAUAGACAAACACCAAAACUCGUGGAAUUCUGUCAGAUAAAACCCUAAGUUUAGAUGUUGGUUGUAUUUGGAUCCUUUUCUUUAUUUAUUUGAUAAUUAAAUUUGAUACUUAAGGACCGUCAACAAACUCCCCCAAGCUUACCUCUUGCUCGUCCCUGAGCAAGGAUAGACUCAGCAAUGGAUCAGAAGUUGUUGCAAUAUCUUAAAAAUUUGACGGUACACAUGCUUUUAAAUAAGAUCUCAUCUCUGAGUUAGAGUAAACUAUCAAGAACUAAAACUUACUUACUUUACCUUUCACCAUGGGACUUGUAACCGUCACUUCUGUCUUGAGUAGUUAAAAGAUAGAACAGUCUAGCCAAGUGUCAUGUCUCUUAUUCUUGAUCAGCUAUAGCUCUGGAGUUUUUUGCAGAUUUUCAAAUAAAACUCAGAGAUUCCUUGUAUGACUCUCUAAAUCUCUCUUUUGUGGUAUUUCUGGAUCCUUACCAAGGCAGUGAUGGUAUAUGCCUUCUCUCAAGAUAUGUGGUAUUUGUGGUAUAAGGCAUAGUGACAUUGCCUUCUCUCUCACCCUACUCUAAUAAGGCUUUAAUAUCUGGAGCUCAUAGGUGGGAGAUAAAGUAUACAUACUUACAAGACAUUUAUUGUAUAGUCAAACCAUGGAUCCAAAGAAACAAAUCAAUAAGCCAAAUCAAGAUGUGCAUGUGUGGCGAAUGAAUGGUGUAUGGUGAUGAUGGUGAUAACAAUGGUGAAAGUCUAAUUCUACUUUUGCUCUUUUGAGGGGAUACGUACCUUCCUUGCUUUUUGAAACUUUAUGAGGAGAAUGAAAUGCUCUUCUUUUUUCUUUCCUCUCAGGUGGGUAUCUUGUACCCCUAAUUCUACUAUCGGACACUUGUCCAUUUUUACCUCUCGUCUCACUCUUUUUUUUUCUUUCGAGGUUCCGGGCACUUGCCCCUUUUUAUUUCCUCAUUUAUUUUUUUUCUUUUCUCUCUCUCUUUUUUUUCAGAGCACUCGUCUCUUGAGAUAAUAUAGCAAGUGGUAGUAGCAAGAUAACUUGAGCAUUUAUUUCACAAGGGAAAACAGAAAUAUUUUUGGCUAUUCUCUCCCGAAUUAGGAGUAGAAUAUUUUUGGGUGGUUCUGGAAAUGGACAUGGAUGGAUAUAUGUGGAUGGUACUUCCGGAGUAGAAGUAGCAUAUAUGAGUGAACGUGCAAGUGAAUCUUGAUUUAACCACAUGACAAGCUCCUAAGGGUCUACACAGCUUGACCACACUCAAUGCUCAUAAGCAGUAAAUAAUAAAUGUGUGGCUCAAAGUCUAGCAAGCAUGUAUAUAUAUGGCUGUGGUAGGAAUUUAAACUCUCAUCAUACAGGAACUCAUCAUGCAAUAUUUUAAAGAUUUUUCAAAGAUAAAAUUCUCCAGAAUUCUAGCAUCUCUAGGAACAGAUAAACAGCAGCUCAACCUUCCCAUAUCAUAUCCGUUAACAACUUAGAUUUCAGAUCAAGUUUUUAUCCCACAAAUUUAGAUCUAGAGCAAGCUUUAAAUUAUAAUAGUUAUGUCUAAACUUGAGAGAGAACUUCAAAUUUGCAAAUUAGGCAGAGCAACUAUUCAUCAUAUCCAUGCUAGAGUUUUAUUAUUAAGAUUCAGAUUAGCAUUGCCACUUUAUUUAAUUUAUCAAACACACUAAGCAAAAGAUAUAUACAAGCACAAAAUCUUUAUUUGGUUUUUCAUAGUUUAUGUAUUUUAAUAUUCUAAUAUAAUAUAAGUAUAAAGAUAGGUAGAAAUACUUAGCGAGAUAAAUGGGGGUGCUCUCCCCCAAGCUGAAUUUUGACGUAAUUUCUCUUGAUGUAGCUAGCAGGUGGCAGAGGUGUAUUUGAAAAUCAGCAGCAUUCUGACAGCGAUUAGAAUGUCUUCCGUCUGCUAGUCUUCUUGAUUCUUAAAUUUUGUGGAGCUCAAAUAGACAACAAAGCUUGUGGAACUAAUUAAGUGUUAGCAUAAAUAUCUAGCCUUCAUCAUGUUGAGCUUCCUCAAUAAAUAUUACUCCCUGUUUUUAUAUUUUUAUUUUAUAAAGGAGAAAAGAAAUAUUUAUUUUAUUUUUAUGCCACCACAGUGAAGGUACUUAUGGGUUUUAUGCCACUCGUAUACUCACAUGGGGCUUAGUAUUUUUUAACAUUUUUAUUUUUUUUCAAGAUAGCAUGAUUAACUAAUAAUCUAUUUAAGGAAAGUAAAUAAUUAAAGAGAAAAGGGAAUGCAGAAAGGAUAAAUAUGGAUAACUACUGAUGUUACCUUUCGGCAAGGGUUCAAUGUUUUAAGUCUUCUUAACAAGACUUCUCACCGUGUUCAUUCUUUAGGUGCGUCAUUUGAUUCAGGUGCGGACCUUGACGUCUACACCUCUUGAUACGGUGUCACCCAUGUUCUUCGUUUGUCCAGCAGUUCGAAGUGCGGCGUUGGCAGUAACCUGCUCAGUGUGUUUGUGCUCGUAGAUCCAGGUCCUUCACUUGGUAGAGUCUGAUAGUUAUAAAACUCCUCCGUGUUUUGCUCAAAGUGUACCUGCUCAUAGAGACAAGGCAGAGAUCAAGUGCAUGGGUCCUGUCGGUGAAAACACCAACAGAACCUAAAGUGUAUUUGUUCUUCUCUAACCCUAAGCAUAGUGAGCAAGACAAAGUUGAUGGAUGAAAAGUUCAUGAGUGUAGCACUUAUAACAUUUGUCAGAUCAGAUCGCUCAACCUUAUGGAAAUAUAAUCUAUCUAUGUAUAUGUCUUUUUCUUUAUAUCUCUCAAUGAUUGAAUGUGUAACAUUUUAGCUCAUAUGAUUAGGAGUGUGGGAUCAUGGAGGUAGUACUAAGAACAAGGAUUAAAGGACUAAACAUGUUGAAUCAGUUGGGUUGGUUAAUCUAGAGUUGUAAAUCAUACAUGUUUGUCUCUUUUAUUUAUAUGAACGCCAGAACCAAGGAGAAGCUUAUAAAAGUGAUAGACAAGUACCUUAAUAUGUUACCUUGCUUAAAGAGUGAUGGUACAGUAUCACCUUGUGGAAGCUUUCCUUUCUUAGCGGUUGUGCAUCAUGUUUGUGCCACCCUCCAUGGAUCAUCUUUCUAUGAUGAAUGAGCUAUGUCCUUCUUGUGCAAAUUGUUAAACUUCAUGUGUCACUCUCUUCGUCUCUGAUGUGAGUUUAUCUUAGGACUUCCCAAAUCGAUAUUGAAAGUUUUUCUGCAGGGGUUAGUCCGACAAAAAUAUACCAAUGUCUACACAAGCAGUUUUUAGUUCAAUAACCGAACUAGACUCCAUAUUUAAUCAGAUUAAGGAAGGCUGUUUAACCUAAGCACCAUGCUUAAUUUGAAAGCCAAAAGAAGUAUGUGCAGUACUUCCAAACUAACACUUACUAGUAAAUAGACAAAGGUAGCAUGACAGCAUUUAUAGAGAUCUACUCAAGUGGAGAUGAAGUAGUGUGAUUAGUAUUUAACAAAUUGAGCAUGUCUUAAAGGUAGGGACAACCAACAUAGCAACAUGGCAAAGAAUGUUUUUAUGUAAAGUACUCCCCCA